GAUGAACGCUGGCGGCGUGCCUAAUACAUGCAAGUCGAACGAGGAGCUUUUGUAGCAAUACGAGAGAAUUCCUAGUGGCGAACGGGUGAGUAACGCGUUGGUGACCUGCCCCAAAGUUUGGGAUAACAGUUCGAAAGGACUGCUAAUACCACAUGUGAUCGUCUGGAUUUGAUGCCAGACGCUCAAAGGAGUAAUCCGCUUUGGGAAGGACCUGCGUCCCAUCAGCUAGUUGGUAGGGUAAUGGCCUACCAAGGCAAUGACGGGUAGGGGACCUGAGAGGGUGACCCCCCACACUGGCACUGAAACACGGGCCAGACACCUACGGGUGGCAG
This 332-nucleotide ribosomal RNA is filed under the name uncultured Chloroflexota bacterium. RNAcentral describes it as "bacterial SSU rRNA". It matches the Rfam family "Bacterial small subunit ribosomal RNA", at positions 28 to 351 of the family's 1533-position model. Lineage: Bacteria; Bacillati; Chloroflexota. The record is from RNAcentral.